GCUGGCGGCGUGCCUAAUACAUGCAAGUCGAGCGAACAGAUAAGGAGCUUGCUCCUUUGACGUUAGCGGCGGACGGGUGAGUAACACGUGGGUAACCUACCUAUAAGACUGGAAUAACUCCGGGAAACCGGGGCUAAUGCCGGAUAACAUAUAGAACCGCAUGGUUCUAUAGUGAAAGAUGGUUUUGCUAUCACUUAUAGAUGGACCCGCGCCGUAUUAGCUAGUUGGUAAGGUAAUGGCUUACCAAGGCGACGAUACGUAGCCGACCUGAGAGGGUGAUCGGCCACACUGGAACUGAGACACGGUCCAGACUCCUACGGGAGGCAGCAGUAGGGAAUCUUCCGCAAUGGGCGAAAGCCUGACGGAGCAACGCCGCGUGAGUGAUGAAGGGUUUCGGCUCGUAAAACUCUGUUAUUAGGGAAGAACAUAUGUGUAAGUAACUGUGCACAUCUGAC
This 455-nucleotide ribosomal RNA is filed under the name Staphylococcus gallinarum. Its description in RNAcentral is "bacterial SSU rRNA". It matches the Rfam family "Bacterial small subunit ribosomal RNA", at positions 35 to 473 of the family's 1533-position model. Lineage: Bacteria; Bacillati; Bacillota; Bacilli; Caryophanales; Staphylococcaceae. The record is from RNAcentral.